This is a small nucleolar RNA of Lampris incognitus (smalleye Pacific opah), 139 nucleotides long. The record is from RefSeq and is a predicted model, not a curated record. NCBI's taxonomy places the organism in Eukaryota, Metazoa, Chordata, Actinopteri, Lampriformes, Lampridae.
AGGCACUAUCUUUGAACCUGACUGGCCGUUCUUGUGGCCACACAGGCCAAGCAAUAGUGCAAGAGUAUAUCAAGGUUUGUUAUAACUGGGGUUUCUUGGCAAUACCACCAAGUUUCUCUUUUAAAAGCAAUUCACAGAA